UUGACACAAAAGACAAGGGAUAUAAAUUGCUUACCAUUCUCGAAAAGCACUCUAGGUAAAAGAUUAGAUUCUCAAGAUAAAUACAAAUAAGAGUAGUAAGUUAUAACGUUAUCACUAUUUCUCUAUUAAUUUCCCUCUUCUACUAUUCAAUCUUGCAAUUUUUUCCUGUAAUUUAAUCACCAGUAAAUUAGAACUUUUUGCACCAAAACAAACGUAAUGAAACACAAAUCAAAACAUACAAAAGCCCAUGGCAAAUCUGGUUUCAAAAUGAAAUAAUCAUUUAAUUUACAUAAAAAAGCGUAUAUAAAUAUACAUACAAGAAUGGAAAAUUAGAUGACUAAGCAGAAAAGAAGCCAUUGGUAGCAGCAACAGUGAUCUGUGAUCUGGCCUCGAAAUUCCUCACCAUUUUGUCAUCCUUUACUAACAGCAUCAUCUCUUUCAUCCAAGAAGCAGAUGACCCUUUGAAUCUCUGCCCCAAAACUCCCACACACGAAAACAUAUCAAUCUCCCCACCAUUCAUCUUUCUUGAAUUCUUCACCCUCCUCUCAUACUCCUCUGCAACCAAGAUUGCAAUAUCUGCCAUUUUCAACAAUCCCUCUCUCUCUCUACAAUAAUUUCUUGCACUUGUUUGAGCUUUGCCACUGUUAGUAAUGAUGGAUAAUGGUGGGGUUUUUUGUGUGUAUUUAAAGGGGUGGGAGCAAUAUUGGAUAAGGUUGCCAGGUGAUGACUGAUCCUAGCUACAAUGUUUUAGCAUUAUUUUAUGCAAGGAUUUAGGUAAUUCAGGAUCAUCUUUCUUUUCCCUUUUUAAGUUUUUAAAGUUUAUAUAUUUAUUUAUUUAUUGCAGUUUACUGUGAGCCGAUUUCUGUGGUCGAAGGGCAUGAAUAGAAUACUGCUUUGCCGACCAAAAUGGCAGUUUUCUUGAGAUUAAACUAAUAUGUGCUAAAUUAGUUAAAAUGCUUCACUUUUUGGAGAAUUAGUGGAAUCUAAUUUGUUAGAUGUGAAGAUCAUUAAGUAAAUUGUUUACUGAAUAUACAUCUAAAUAAAUGUAUAUGGAUUAUAUAAACGGCUGAUAUUGCAAUAUGGAG
Molecule: long non-coding RNA, 1085 nt
Filed under: Salvia miltiorrhiza (redroot sage)
Lineage: Eukaryota; Viridiplantae; Streptophyta; Magnoliopsida; Lamiales; Lamiaceae
Description: long non-coding RNA (SMIL_LNC008858)
Source: RNAcentral